This 76-nucleotide transfer RNA is filed under the name Oryzias uwai. RNAcentral's name for it is "tRNA-Ser". Lineage: Eukaryota; Metazoa; Chordata; Actinopteri; Beloniformes; Adrianichthyidae. The record is from RNAcentral.
GAGAGGGGUCUGUGAGACAGCAAGAACUGCUAAUUCUAGCCCCUUUGGUUAAAUUCCAGAGCCCACUCGAAAAGGC